Molecule: ribosomal RNA, 501 nt
Filed under: uncultured bacterium
Lineage: Bacteria
Description: partial 16S ribosomal RNA
Rfam family: Bacterial small subunit ribosomal RNA
Source: RNAcentral
AUUGAACGCUGGCGGCAGGCUUAACACAUGCAAGUCGAGCGGGGGAAGGUAGCUUGCUACCGGACCUAGCGGCGGACGGGUGAGUAAUGCUUAGGAAUCUGCCUAUUAGUGGGGGACAACAUCUCGAAAGGGAUGCUAAUACCGCAUACGUCCUACGGGAGAAAGCAGGGGAUCUUCGGACCUUGCGCUAAUAGAUGAGCCUAAGUCGGAUUAGCUAGUUGGUGGGGUAAAGGCCUACCAAGGCGACGAUCUGUAGCGGGUCUGAGAGGAUGAUCCGCCACACGGGGACUGAGACACGGCCCAGACUCCUACGGGAGGCAGCAGUGGGGAAUAUUGGACAAUGGGGGGAACCCUGAUCCAGCCAUGCCGCGUGUGUGAAGAAGGCCUUAUGGUUGUAAAGCACUUUAAGCGAGGAGGAGGCUACUUUAGUUAAUACCUAGAGACAGUGGACGUUACUCGCAGAAUAAGCACCGGCUAACUCUGUGCCAGCAGCCGCGGAAA